This 2224-nucleotide long non-coding RNA is filed under the name Sus scrofa (pig). RNAcentral describes it as "lncRNA (ENSSSCG00045029807.1)". Lineage: Eukaryota; Metazoa; Chordata; Mammalia; Artiodactyla; Suidae. The record is from RNAcentral.
UUCCCAGGCUAGGGGUCUAAUCAGAGCUAUAGCUGCCGGCCUACACCACAGCCACAGCAAUUCGGGAUCUGAGCCGCGUCUGUGACCUACACCACAGCUCACGGCAACGCCGGAUCCUUCACCCACUGAGCAAGGCCAGGGAUCAAACCCACAACCUCAUGGUUCCUAGUCAGAUUCUUUAACCCCUGAGCCAUGACGGGAACUCCCCCUUCUUUAAUUUUUGGCCACACCCAUGGCCUGCGGAAGUUCUCAGGCCAGGGAUCAAACCCAAAUCUGAUAGAGCGGGAGAGCCAGAUGACAAACCAGCCAACGAAUGAAUCAAGAAGAUUCUUAUAACAUGUGAAGUACACCAAAGAAAUAAAAAGCCAGAAGCCACAGAGAGUGACGGGGGCUGGGGGGUGGGGGGGCAUCGUACCAAGGAUUCUCAUGUGUAUCACUUCCCUCACCCUCUGAAGAUGCAGUGGCUUCUGUGGGAGAACGUGGAUUACAGUCAGGGCCUGGGACUGUGUGCACACAGGAUCACGUGUAAGCAGCAGGAGAAGUGGCUGGUGUGGCCCAACGAAAUUCCCCAUGGGAAGACAUGUGCACGGAGCAACAACACAGGAAGAGAAUUCAAAGGCGCUUUCAUGUAAUUAACAUUCGGCAAGCAUGGUUUUGGUCUGUGUUUUUGUAAUGCUGCUGAAGUUCAGAGCUUCAAAGACACUUCUGCUAAAGUCUGCAGGGCCCCAAAAUGAGGACCACAGGGAUGCAUUCAUGGGGCACAAGCUGGCCAUCUUGGGGGGGUGGCUGCUGGUCACACUCCAGAGCCAAUGUGCCUUUUCCAGGCUACCUGUCCUGAGCAGAAUGAAUUCUUUUCUCUCCCAUGUUCCCACCAGCCUUUAUUCCUAAUUCAGGCUGGGUUCUUGGACACUGAGUUAGAGUUAGCAUCUGUUCCCUGGGUCUGCUUUAACCAUCUGGAUGAAGCAUCUGAGACUGACAGGAGCUAAUGUAUAAAUACCCCCCAGCUGUCCUGCCCCACAGGUAGGAUAAUCCUAAGAUAUAUGUUCUUACACUGGCUGCCAGUUUCCCUGGUGGGAAUAACCCCCUGUCACCCACUGUGGUAGCCGGCUUGCUAACAGACCCUUUAGCAGUGGCCUUCUCUUCCUCAGCUCAGUCUCGAUUCCUCUACUUUAACCUCCCACAUAAAUCUUUACCACUCAAGUCCUUGCUGAAGGUAUGCUUCUGGGGAAACUCAACCUAAGACAAGGUUAAGGUGGAAACCUACCCUAUGUAAUGUUGUUAUGCGGAUUCAGAGGAGAGAACAGACAUCACACACACCCAGAGUGGCACAUGGUAGGCACUCAGCAAUGUGGACUUCCCUUCUGUAGGGACCACUCCCCGCUCCAUUCUAUCUGUUCCCAGCACCGUCUUGCCUACUGAGCGCUUCAAAGCCUUCCCGGGCUGCCUAUGUCAUGCUCUACUAUUUCCAAAGCAGCUGCUGGGUAAUUACAGAUUCUAAUUAUAACUUAUCUUUAUGAUUUGGAUAAAUCCAUUAGAGACACCUCUGACAAACCCCCAUUGCUCAUCUUGUCUUGAAUGUGUUAACCACACUCAACUGUGAAAAAGAGGCAGGCAAAGAGGUGUGCUUGUUAACGAGGGGGCCUGAACAGGAAGCUUUUCGCACCAUAAUCUCAUUAAGGGGGACCACACCAAUUGAAGGGUGUGUCAGACUCUCCCGAAGGAGCUUAGUGAAAGUGCAUGUUCCUGGGCUCUUCCUGUAGAGAUUUGGAUACAGAACAUCUGGAUGGAACCCAGGAAUUUGCAUUUUAGCAACUUUCCAAAGGGAUUCUUAAGCAAGGGACCCCCCCCACCACAAGACACACUUGAAGAAACAUGGCCCCUUUGUUCUUUCUUGGCACUAGAGGUCACUGGCCCAGCAUCUGGAUCAGAGUAAACUCCCAUCUAUCCAUCCAUCUAACAACUCUUGUUGGUCACAUCUUCUGUCCCAGCCCUGACGCUAGGCACUGGGACGACUGUAAUAUUUGUCAAAUGAGAACAGGAUCCAUAUCUGCCACUUUUAACACAUCAGGAACCAGCUUUCAACACACAGUAGGUCCUCAGUGAAGACUCAAGGACUGCCAGGGCCUUCCCAGCAUCAAGGAAGGAGUUUGGGGGCCUGCCUCACUGAGGAUUCAGUAGUUUUAUGGUGAGUCCAAGAGAUUAAAAUGUACUAGAGGUUCUUAUA